UGCAAGCAGCCCGACUUGAGCGGAGCUCUUUUUGUGAAGCAAAGCGUAACAAAAAAGCGGGAGCGGAAGGCGGAAAUAGCU
This 81-nucleotide unclassified non-coding RNA is filed under the name Chryseobacterium scophthalmum. RNAcentral's name for it is "Flavo-1 RNA". The record is from RNAcentral. Lineage: Bacteria; Pseudomonadati; Bacteroidota; Flavobacteriia; Flavobacteriales; Weeksellaceae.